GUUAUUAUAUUGCUGAAGCAGUAGAACUUGAGAUGAAUUCAUAAUAAAAUAGUUGGCAUGGGGACCACAUGGAUGUUCUGGGCCUCUCUUAAAAACUUUAUAUGCAGCACAUCUUCUUACCGAAUGUUGGAAGAACACCUUUACAGGACCUCAUCUCUAGAUAAUGCCAUACAAUUGUUUUCCCCUCAACAGAAGUUAAAAUGAGUAAAUUAGGGAGGUACAGCUAAAAACUCCUUAUAACCAUUUUUAACUGAAACAAAGCACAAUUCCCUCACCAGGCCACUGAGUACGGAGCAAAAAACACGUGGCGGAUGCACUCAUUAACCGGAACAACCAGAUGGAUCGUUACACUGAACCACCCAGAGGCUAUCCAUGGAAGGGUUUGGAAAAGGGCAACUACUUUCCAAAAAUACAUCUGAAGGAAAUCGGAAGGAGAGCGAAGAACAUCCGUCGGUGUCGUUCUUUUCUUUGCUUUCAAUUAAGAAUGACUCUCUGGUUCAGCAUGUACGCUCUGCCUCCCUGCAGCAUCCUGCAGCAUGUCAUCAGCCUCCCAUGUGCACACACACACACACACACACACACACACACACACACACACACAGGCACAUGCAUCUGCUGAAACCUCUGACUUCACUCCACCAGCGCCAGUCUGUGCACAGGCAGUUCAGAUGUUGUCAUUCGGUUUGCUGGAGGAUUUGGGCAGCCUUAUUCAAAAGGGAUAUUCUCUCUUUUAUUUAUGCUGCGUUCUAUUUUCCUUUUGUCUGAGACAUUUCUGCCUACGGGACACGUAGGCAGAAAUCUCACGUGUUACCGUAGUUGUGAUAAUUCAGGUAGUGUUCCUGGUUUCAGAGAGACACUCUAUUCAUGUAGGAGCAAAGGGUUCCAGAGGUUCAAUAGGAAACCCAAACCAUGUAUUUGAUCAAUAUGUCUUUAAAACAAAGGCUUAAUACCUGCAUUUAUUCAUUUAUUCUGUGGAGGUUGGCAAUGAGAUAGAAUACAAAGCAAAGUAAUGUGUUUUUGUCUUCUAGGAGGUUAAACAUGUUUACAAAAAGAAGUGAUGUAGCUCUUUAAAGCUCCUUAAAAAUCAUUCCAGAAAAUGUCACCAACCACCAACCUCGUUAGAAAACCACAUUCUUCCGACACUGCCCCUCCCACACUAAUCCUGCUAGAAAAGCACAAGACAAAAACAAAAAUACAGAAAUCUCUGAAGAAACUGAAACUGACUGAAAAUGUCUUGAUGUGGAACAAGAAAAUAUGCUCCUUUCAUUUGAAUCCAAAAUGAAAAGAAAAUGUGCCUUCAAGUGUGGGUCUUUUGCAUUUUCCAUUGAUCAAUGAGAAUUUCGCUUUGAGACUAAAGCUAACCAACCUGUGUGGCUUCCUGUAGCUUCCUGAAUAUUCCAUUCACUUAAAUGUGAAACUACUCUCAGAGGGUCUGCUGUGAUCAAAAGGUGCAAUAUCCAAUCCCGCUUCGCAACAUCUCUCCGUAGAUGAUGAAAUUCUCUCUCUCUCUCUCUCUCUCUCUCACAGAUGUGGGUUGCAGAUGUGGAAGCUGUCCUCAGGUCCAUGGAGAGACAGUUGAAUGCUUCACUGGAGAAAUAUCCUCGUACAAGCGCAGUCUGCCCAGAGCGUUGUCCUCCAUCUCCUUUGAACCGCGGCGGGUGUCUCUGCUGCCGACCAGCUGAUCCGGAGAGGCGCCUUAAGAUGGUCUGAAAUGAUUUGGAGGCAAGAGAAACGCUCAGCGAUCCCGUUUUCUUUGCAAACCUGAACCCUUCAAUCCCUCAUGCAAUGACCUGUCCUCAUAAGCCGUUUUUGCCAUUCAGCUGAGGAAAGUCAUUUCACACUUGAGUGUAUCUUUACUUAUCCGUCCCCUGAGCGCUGAAAAGUAGAUUUCAACUUGAGAUCUUCCCGCGAUGACUUCCAGCUUCAUGUUCUUAAUACUCUGCUAACGACUGACUAAUGAAUAAACAAGUCUCUCUGCGACACAGGCUUCUGUUG
This is a long non-coding RNA of Gasterosteus aculeatus aculeatus (three-spined stickleback), 1995 nucleotides long. The record is from Ensembl. Lineage: Eukaryota; Metazoa; Chordata; Actinopteri; Perciformes; Gasterosteidae.